AACGAACGCUGGCGGCAUGCCUAACACAUGCAAGUCGAACGAGACCUUCGGGUCUAGUGGCGCACGGGUGCGUAACGCGUGGGAACCUGCCCUUAGGUUCGGAAUAACUCCCCGAAAGGGGUGCUAAUACCGGAUAAUGUCUUCGGACCAAAGAUUUAUCGCCUUUGGAUGGGCCCGCGUUGGAUUAGCUAGUUGGUAGGGUAAAAGCCUACCAAGGCGACGAUCCAUAGCUGGUCGGAGAGGAUGAUCAGCCACACUGGGACUGAGACACGGCCCAGAAUCGUACGGGAGGCAGCAGUGGGGAAUAUUGGACGAUGGGCGAAAGCCUGAUCCAGCAAUGCCGCGUGAGUGAUGAAGGCCUUAGGGUUGUAAAGCUCUUUUAGCCGGGAUGAGAAUGACAGUACCGGGAGAAUAAGCUCCGGCUAACUCCGUG
Molecule: ribosomal RNA, 433 nt
Filed under: uncultured bacterium
Lineage: Bacteria
Description: partial 16S ribosomal RNA
Rfam family: Bacterial small subunit ribosomal RNA
Source: RNAcentral